UCGAACGAGAAAGUGGAGCAAUCCAUGAGUAAAGUGGCGACCGGGUGAGUAACACGUGACUAACCUACCUUCGAGUGGGGGAUAACCUCGGGAAACCGGGGCUAAUACCGCAUAAUAUCUUCGGGAUGAGAAGCCGAAGAUCAAAGGAGCAAUUCGCUGGAAGAGGGAGUCGCGGCUGAUUAGCUAGUUGGCGGGGUAAUGGCCCACCAAGGCUUUGAUCGGUAGCCGGCCUGAGAGGGCGCACGGCCACACUGGAACUGAAACACGGUCCAGACUCCUACGGGAGGCAGCAGUGGGGAAUUUUGCGCAAUGGGGGAAACCCUGACGCAGCAACGCCGCGUGGAGGAUGAAGUCCCUUGGGACGUAAACUCCUUUCGACCCGGACGAUAAUGACGGUACGGGUGGAAGAAGCCCCGGCUAACUUCGUGCCAGCAGCCGCGGUAAUACGAGGGGGGCAAGCGUUGUCGGAAUUAUUGGGCGUAAAGGGCGCGUAGGCGGUGCGGUAAGUCACCUGUGAAAUCUCCGGGCUUAACUCGGAGCCUGCAGGCGAAACUGCCGUGCUUGAGUGUGGGAAGGUGCGUGGAAUUUCCCGGUGUAACGGUGAAAAUGCGGUAGAUAUCGGGAAGGAACACCUGUGGGAAAGGCGGCGCACUGGACCAAAUGACGCUGAGGCGCGAAAGCUAGGGGAGCAAACAGGA
RNAcentral lists this ribosomal RNA (698 nucleotides) under uncultured bacterium. RNAcentral's name for it is "bacterial SSU rRNA". It matches the Rfam family "Bacterial small subunit ribosomal RNA", at positions 62 to 777 of the family's 1533-position model. The record is from RNAcentral.